UUCCCCUAGUAACUGCGAGUGAAGCGGGAAAAGCUCAAAUUUAAAAUCUGGUAGUCUUUGGCUGCCCGAGUUGUAAUCUAGAGAAGCGUUAUCCGCGCUGGACCGUGUAUAAGUCUCCUGGAAUGGAGCGUCAUAGAGGGUGAGAAUCCCGUCUUUGACACGGAUUACCAGGGCUUUGUGAUGCGCUCUCAAAGAGUCGAGUUGUUUGGGAAUGCAGCUCUAAAUGGGUGGUAAAUUCCAUCUAAAGCUAAAUAUUGGCGAGAGACCGAUAGCGAACAAGUACCGUGAGGGAAAGAUGAAAAGAACUUUGGAAAGAGAGUUAAACAGUACGUGAAAUUGUUGAAAGGGAAACGCUUGAAGUCAGUCGCGUUGACCAGGGAUCAACCUUGCUUUUGCUUGGCGUAUUUCCUGAUUGACGGGUCAGCAUCAAUUUUGACCAGUGGAAAAAGUUCAGGGGAAUGUGACAUCUUCGGAUGUGUUAUAGCCCUUGGUCGUAUACAUUGGUUGGGAUUGAGGAACUCAGCACGCCGCAAGGCCGGGUUUUUAACCACGUUCGUGCUUAGGAUGCUGGCAUAAUGGCUUUAAUCGACCCGUCUUGAAACACGGACCAAGGAGUCUAACAUACCUGCGAGUGUUUGGGUGGAAAACCCAAGCGCGUAAUGAAAGUGAAAGUCGGGAUCUCUGUCGUGGGGAGCACCGACGCCCGGACCAGACCUUCUGUGACGGAUCCGCGGUAGAG
RNAcentral lists this ribosomal RNA (739 nucleotides) under Lecanographa amylacea. RNAcentral describes it as "partial 28S ribosomal RNA". It matches the Rfam family "Eukaryotic large subunit ribosomal RNA", at positions 75 to 800 of the family's 3401-position model. The record is from RNAcentral. Lineage: Eukaryota; Fungi; Ascomycota; Arthoniomycetes; Arthoniales; Lecanographaceae.